Molecule: ribosomal RNA, 407 nt
Filed under: uncultured bacterium
Lineage: Bacteria
Description: bacterial SSU rRNA
Rfam family: Bacterial small subunit ribosomal RNA
Source: RNAcentral
GGGUGAGUAAUACAUCGGAACGUACCCAGAAGUGGGGGAUAACGUAGCGAAAGUUACGCUAAUCCCGCAUACGUUCUACGGAAGAAAGUGGGGGAUCGCAAGACCUCAUGCUUUUGGAGCGGCCGAUGUCUGAUUAGCUAGUUGGUGAGGUAAAGGCUCACCAAGGCGACGAUCAGUAGCUGGUCUGAAGAGGACGUCCAGCCACACUGGAACUGAGACUCGGUCCAGACUCCUACGGGAGGCAGCAGUGGGGAAUUUUGGACAAUGGGCGCAAGCCUGAUCCUAGCAAUGCCGCGUGAGUGAAGAAGGCCUUCGGGUUGUAAAGCUCUUUUGUCAGGAAAGAAACGGCAGUGGCUAAUAUCCUUUGCUAAGACGGUACCUAAGAAUAGCUCCGGCUAGGUUACGUG